Molecule: ribosomal RNA, 511 nt
Filed under: Staphylococcus succinus
Lineage: Bacteria; Bacillati; Bacillota; Bacilli; Caryophanales; Staphylococcaceae
Description: bacterial SSU rRNA
Rfam family: Bacterial small subunit ribosomal RNA
Source: RNAcentral
UUAAUUCGAAGCAACGCGAAGAACCUUACCAAAUCUUGACAUCCUUUGAAAACUCUAGAGAUAGAGCCUUCCCCUUCGGGGGACAAAGUGACAGGUGGUGCAUGGUUGUCGUCAGCUCGUGUCGUGAGAUGUUGGGUUAAGUCCCGCAACGAGCGCAACCCUUAAGCUUAGUUGCCAUCAUUAAGUUGGGCACUCUAGGUUGACUGCCGGUGACAAACCGGAGGAAGGUGGGGAUGACGUCAAAUCAUCAUGCCCCUUAUGAUUUGGGCUACACACGUGCUACAAUGGACAAUACAAAGGGCAGCUAAACCGCGAGGUCAUGCAAAUCCCAUAAAGUUGUUCUCAGUUCGGAUUGUAGUCUGCAACUCGACUACAUGAAGCUGGAAUCGCUAGUAAUCGUAGAUCAGCAUGCUACGGUGAAUACGUUCCCGGGUCUUGUACACACCGCCCGUCACACCACGAGAGUUUGUAACACCCGAAGCCGGUGGAGUAACCAUUUUAUGGAGCUAGC